GCCUAAUACAUGCAAGUCGAACGAUAGAUAGAAGCUUGCUUUUAUCGAAAGUGGCGCACGGGUGCGUAACGCGUAUGCAACCUACCUUGAUCAGGGGGAUAGCCUCUCGAAAGAGAGAUUAACACCGCAUAACAUUAUUGAGUGGCAUCAUUUAAUAAUCAAAUAUUUAUAGGAUCGAGAUGGGCAUGCGUGACAUUAGCUAGUUGGCGGGGUAACGGCCCACCAAGGCUACGAUGUCUAGGGGAUCUGAGAGGAUGACCCCCCACACUGGUACUGAGACACGGACCAAACUCCUACGGGAGGCAGCAGUAAGGAAUAUUGGUCAAUGGGGGCAACCCUGAACCAGCCAUGCCGCGUGCAGGAAGACGGCCCUACGGGUUGUAAACUGCUUUUAUACGGGAAUAAACCUUGCUACGUGUAGUGAGUUGAAUGUACUGUAGGAAUAAGGAUCGGCUAACUCCGUGCCAGCAGCCGCGGUAAUACGGAGGAUCCAAGCGUUAUCCGGAUUUAUUGGGUUUAAAGGGUGCGUAGGCGGCCUAUUAAGUCAGGGGUGAAAGACGGUGGCUCAACCAUCGC
This 576-nucleotide ribosomal RNA is filed under the name uncultured bacterium. RNAcentral's name for it is "bacterial SSU rRNA". It matches the Rfam family "Bacterial small subunit ribosomal RNA", at positions 46 to 619 of the family's 1533-position model. The record is from RNAcentral.